Molecule: long non-coding RNA, 1286 nt
Organism: Gallus gallus (chicken)
Lineage: Eukaryota; Metazoa; Chordata; Aves; Galliformes; Phasianidae
Source: Ensembl
CUGCCCGAGAGCGCCGGGAGGAGCGGGGAACCACCCCACGCCGGCUGGGAAGAAUAAUAUAUACUGACGAUGCUGCAGUUCGGUGCCCAAGCACAGCAAGGAGUGCCUUUGCCUUCCCCAGCUUGAAGCAGCAACUCUGAGCCAUGCAAAACCAGGCCACUGCACAACACUGGGUCAUGCAGCCAGUGACUGUAAGAGUUGUCUUAGUGUGAAAAAUCAGGCCCAGGGAUUCAGUGCUAAGGUAUAUAAAUGGCAUUCUUUAUUUAUUUGGGCUGUUACGCAUGCCUUAGUCAGGCAGCUGUAAAUAAGGUUUUAUCUUGCUGCUUUCAGGCUGUCGUCCUGGAGGAGCAGCUCAGGACUGUGGGAAUUCCUGGGCUGUUUGUUCACUCAUGAUUUUGGAAAGGCAAAUUCUGUAACUUCAGGAGCUGUCUUCCUCAUGUUUAACCCAUGCCUUCAGAUCAUGGGAGGGAGAGUCUGCUUCCACUGAAAUCCACUCCUUGCUGGGUGAGGACAUGGUGAGCUUCAGAGCGUGGGAAAUUCCUCUCGUGUCGCAGCACAGGCUUCAACUGAGGGAAGGAGCUCGAAGGCAUUUUGUUUAAUUGAUAACAACCGCGACAGGCCAACUGUUUGCUUUUACUAUUCUCCUGCCUUCAACGUUUAACUUCUGUUUCACUAACCAGGCAGUAAACCCCAGGAGUGAAAAUAACCCCCCACCUAACUUCUAGCCACUUUUAUUUGGGUCCGUGGCGCGGUAGUGCUGUUGUGUCUGGGGGGGAACCAGCUGGAUAGAGCUGCAGCCUCCCGAGGGCUUACUGUCAUCUCUCACAGAUGUUCCUGUCAGGAGACAAAAUAGAGGAUGAUACCAGAUCUUUCAUUUCAAUGCCUGAGUUUGUUGCUGUUUAUUAAAGAGGACCACCUGACUGCAUGUUUUGUGCACCAGGUGCACAUCAUUCAGCAGUGCUGCCGUCUGUUUCACUCAAAGCACUAUUUCAGAAAGUUAAGUAUGCAGUAAAAGAAGCCUUCAUCUUAUCGGCUCAGAUUCAUGGAAAGGGAAGAAGUGAGGAGAGAUCACUUGGAACACUGGGGAACUCAUUUUUUCUCCCAGGAUGAACUGAAAAUCUUGCUUGGUACCACUCAAGAUGCAUGCAGAAAAAUCUGGGGUGUGAAACGCAUAACAAAUCCCCACCAUCCCUGCAAGAGAAAUGAUAAAAAGCCCUUCUCCUCGAAGGGAGCAGCGUAAAAUUGGCCAUAAAGUAUGUAGAUGGUUUGUGGUGGUGCAGACUGUG